GGGUGAGUAAUGCGUCGGAACGUGCCGAGUAAUGGGGGAUAACGCAGCGAAAGUUGUGCUAAUACCGCAUACGCCCCGAGGGGGAAAGCAGGGGAUCUUCGGACCUUGCGUUAUUCGAGCGGCCGACGUCUGAUUAGCUAGUUGGUGGGGUAAAGGCCUACCAAGGCGACGAUCAGUAGCGGGUCUGAGAGGAUGAUCCGCCACACUGGGACUGAGACACGGCCCAGACUCCUACGGGAGGCAGCAGUGGGGAAUUUUGGACAAUGGGGGCAACCCUGAUCCAGCCAUUCCGCGUGAGUGAAGAAGGCCUUCGGGUUGUAAAGCUCUUUCGGCAGGAACGAAACGGCGGGCUCUAACAUAGCCUGUUAAUGACGGUACCUGAAGAAGAAGCACCGGCUAACUACGUGCCAGCAGCCGCGGUAAUACGUAGGGUGCGAGCGUUAAUCGGAAUUACUGGGCGUAAAGCGUGCGCAGGCGGAUUGUUAAGCAAGACGUGAAAUCCCCGGGCUUAACCUGGGAAUGGCGUUUUGAACUGGCAGUCUAGAGUGCGUCAGAGGGGGGUGGAAUUCCACGUGUAGCAGUGAAAUGCGUAGAGAUGUGGAGGAACACCGAUGGCGAAGGCAGCCCCCUGGGAUGACACUGACGCUCAUGUACGAAAGCGUGGGUAGCAAACAGGAUUAGAUACCCUGGUAGUCCACGCCCUAAACGAUGUCAACUGGUUGUUGGGGGAGUGAAAUCCCUUAGUAACGAAGCUAACGCGUGAAGUUGACCGCCUGGGGAGUACGGUCGCAAGAUUAAAACUCAAAGGAAUUGACGGGGACCCGCACAAGCGGUGGAUGAUGUGGAUUAAUUCGAUGCAACGCGAAAAACCUUACCUACCCUUGACAUGUCCGGAAUCCUG
RNAcentral lists this ribosomal RNA (901 nucleotides) under uncultured Thiobacillus sp. RNAcentral describes it as "bacterial SSU rRNA". It matches the Rfam family "Bacterial small subunit ribosomal RNA", at positions 104 to 1000 of the family's 1533-position model. Lineage: Bacteria; Pseudomonadati; Pseudomonadota; Betaproteobacteria; Nitrosomonadales; Thiobacillaceae. The record is from RNAcentral.